UACGUAGGGGGCAAGCGUUGUCCGGAUUUAUUGGGCGUAAAGAGCGUGUAGGCGGCUUUACAGGUCCGUUGUGAAAACUCGAGGCUCAACCUCGAGACGCCGGUGGAAACCGUAAAGCUAGAGUCCGGAAGAGGAGAGUGGAAUUCCUGGUGUAGCGGUGAAAUGCGCAGAUAUCAGGAGGAACACCGAUGGCGAAGGCAGGUCACUGGGCCGCAACUGACGCUGAGGAGCGAAAGCAUGGGGAGCGAACAGG
Molecule: ribosomal RNA, 253 nt
Filed under: uncultured bacterium
Lineage: Bacteria
Description: partial 16S ribosomal RNA
Rfam family: Bacterial small subunit ribosomal RNA
Source: RNAcentral